This 2566-nucleotide long non-coding RNA is filed under the name Nicotiana benthamiana. RNAcentral describes it as "long non-coding RNA (NBEN_LNC024615)". Lineage: Eukaryota; Viridiplantae; Streptophyta; Magnoliopsida; Solanales; Solanaceae. The record is from RNAcentral.
GGAAAUGAAAUUAAGAGACAGACUUAGACUGAUAUCAUACCAAAAUAAAUACGAAAAUGCCAACAUGUAUCUCUACCCAGAAACCGGUGUCACACUAUCCACGGAUUAUCUAAGAAUACUACAUAUAAAUUUUUGAAAAAGAAAUACAGUAUGUCUCGGAUACAAGUAAUAACAAAACAUAAUAAUAUAUAGAAGAGUACGUCGGGCCUGCAGACGCCUGCAGCACUACCUCAGGAUCUUUGUGAACUGAAGGCUGACUCCCCAAGUACUACUAUCCCAAUUGUCACACUUCCUUUUUACCGCUCCUGCAAGGGGCAAAGGGAGUUUUUCCAAAUAAAGGACAAUCAAAACGAGAUUUGCUUAAUUAAUUCAGAGUCUCCACUUGAGAGAUUUAUGGUGUCCCAAGUCACCGGUUGAAUCCCAAAUCGAGGAAAAGAAUGACUCUAUUUAACAGUCCGCGUACCAGAAAUCCGGAUAAGAAAUUCUGUUAACCCGGGAGAAGGUGUUAGGCAUUCCCGAGUUUCGUGGUUCUAGCACGGUCGCUCAACUGUCGUAUUUAGAUUAUUUAUCUGAUUUUAAUACAUAUGAACCUAUGUGCCAAUUUUAACUUUUAACCGCUUUAAUUUAAUUUAAUAAAGAAAAUUAAACGUCGUCUCACAUAUGUCUUUGGAUUGCGCCGCAUGAAAUAAACUGCGAUCCUGGACACAUAUGAUUCGACGUUUUGGGAUUUAAAUUUGGGUCGCAUGAAAUGCACACCUGAGUUUAUGGAAGAUAACAUUAUUAAAUACGCGCCUAAAGAUGCUAAGGCGUUAUUAUUCUUGAGAAGGCAGUGAAAUUCGCUAAACGGCCUAUCCCGAAAUCUACGGAGUUAAUAUAUACAUUUAUGAGGGCCCACAGUUUGUGCCUUUUUAUUUGGCGAGGCACGUCACAUUUAUUUUAAAAGGAAAAUCCUAAAAUGACUACAUUUUCUUUAUUAAGUUCGUCUCUAAAUAUAAAAAAAAAUCCUAAUUUAUUUACAUGCUUUGCGAGCGGGUCUCUUAUUAGUUAUUAGAUUUGUAAGAGAGGAUAACAGAAAAAUGCACUCGAACUCGAAAGGUGAAAAAUUUUCUUCAUGCCUUAUUCAAUAAACGAACUAAUAAAGCUGACAUGUGUACGAGAUUGACAAAAUAUUGAAAACGAACUAACCAUUCUCCAAAUUGAUUUAAACUAACAUUUCUAACAUUGAUUUAGACUAAUGGAAUUAACGGCUAGAAAAUGUUAUCAACAUGGAUGCUAAUAUUUGGCCUAAAUACUGCCUAACGGAAUAGAGUGCUACCUAAUUAAACAAUGUUCCUACAUGAUUCCAAAACAAGCCUUUUGUUCAAUGAGGUACUAUCUGGUAUUUGGAAAUAGUCUAAAGAGCCUAACAUGCUUUUGAGAUGUACUAUUUAACAAGUAAUACUGAAACCAUAGAACAUGAUUUGUACAACAUCAAUCAAUUUUAACUAAGCAUGUGAGGAUGGAGGUUUACAACUAAACUACUACAGAAUAUUGUUCAGUUAUACAUAGCCCACACUUACGUGAUUUGAGUUGAAGACAUGAACUAUUAUAUGUAUGUAGCUUAAUGUUCAAUAUACAACUAAAAGGAAUUCAAAACAACUUCAACUAUUAAUUUUUCAUUCAUGCUUCUAAUUUCAGCUUACAUUGAGCCAGUGUAUCAGUUGUGUAUCUGGUAUUUGGAAAAGCAAAGAGGAGAGGAAGAUCAGUAGAAGCAGUAGUAGCACAACAAUAGCAGUACGACUAACCAGUAGAACAUCCAGUAACAAACACCACAGGAAACCCCAGGAAUAGAUUAACCAAGCAGAAAACCAAGAUGCUCAAUGGAACAAGUACUCUAGACCCAAUAAAAAUCCAACAGUAAACCCAGGAAACACCACUUGAAUACAAGUAGUACUAGAAACAAACACAGACAAACAUAGAAGUAACCAAUUGCAAAAGAAGCAAUAACUUUUGAUUUUUUUAGCACUCAAGAAAGAAGCUUGAAGCUUCAAUGAAACAAUAGCAAUUAAUGCUAAUUUCAACAGUGAAGGAAAGCAGAAUCAUCUCAAUUUUUUGCUAUCAAAGUCUGAAAUUCUUAAGAUUCAAAUUUUUUUAUAUCUCCUCUUAAGUUCUGAAAAUCUGAUCUCAAUAUUCCGUUCUCUAUCUCACUCUAGACUCUCUCUCCAAAACAUCCAGUUUCUAAUUAAUCAUCAACUCUAUGUAUUUAUAGUAACCCCCUAGAUCUUCCCUCCUUUGAAAAACUUCACUUACCCGACCAACAAUCCCAAAACAUCUGCCAAUUUUUACCUAAAUCCCACUAAGGAAUGCUUUUCCUUAUUUUAUUCCCUAAAUUAAGGCAUGAUAUAAGGGCUUGCUCCCCACUAGCAUUAGACUAAUGCAUAAGUUCUUGUCUUAUUAGUGCUUGACUAACAGACCAUUAACUUAGUCAAUUAUGAUCAUUUUUCAUUCCCAAAAUACCCCUAUAAUCCUACUUUUAUUACUGCCCUGCCCUUAAAAUCAGUAUUAAAUCAAAUUAAUUCUUAAAAAU